AGUCUUAUAGUCAAUAAUGAUAUAAAAUUGCAAAUUUUAAGGAGUAAAUUAUAAAUACUAAGGCU
Molecule: transfer RNA, 65 nt
Filed under: Parnassius bremeri
Lineage: Eukaryota; Metazoa; Arthropoda; Insecta; Lepidoptera; Papilionidae
Description: tRNA-Cys
Source: RNAcentral